GACGUAGGGCGCGAGCGUUGUCCGGAUUUACUGGGCGUAAAGGAUGCGUAGGCGGACAUUUAAGUCAGAUGUGAAAUACCCGAGCUUAACUUGGGUGCUGCAUUUGAAACUGGGUGUCCAGAGUGCAGGAGAGGUAAGUGGAAUUCCUAGUGUAGCGGUGAAAUGCGUAGAGAUUAGGAAGAACACCAGUGGCGAAGGCGACUUACUGGACUGUAACUGACGCUGAGGCAUGAAAGCGUGGGGAGCAAACAGG
Molecule: ribosomal RNA, 253 nt
Filed under: uncultured bacterium
Lineage: Bacteria
Description: partial 16S ribosomal RNA
Rfam family: Bacterial small subunit ribosomal RNA
Source: RNAcentral